UACGGAGGGGGCGAGCGUUGUUCGGAAUUACUGGGCGUAAAGCGUGCGCAGGCGGUGAUGUAAGACAGAUGUGAAAUCCCCGGGCUCAACCUGGGAACUGCAUUUGUGACUGCAUCGCUGGAGUGCGGCAGAGGGGGAUGGAAUUCCGCGUGUAGCAGUGAAAUGCGUAGAUAUGCGGAGGAACACCGAUGGCGAAGGCAAUCCCCUGGGCCUGCACUGACGCUCAUGCACGAAAGCGUGGGGAGCAAACAGG
This 253-nucleotide ribosomal RNA is filed under the name uncultured bacterium. RNAcentral's name for it is "partial 16S ribosomal RNA". It matches the Rfam family "Bacterial small subunit ribosomal RNA", at positions 524 to 776 of the family's 1533-position model. The record is from RNAcentral.